RNAcentral lists this long non-coding RNA (212 nucleotides) under Elaeis guineensis (African oil palm). RNAcentral describes it as "long non-coding RNA (EGUI_LNC006194)". Lineage: Eukaryota; Viridiplantae; Streptophyta; Magnoliopsida; Arecales; Arecaceae. The record is from RNAcentral.
GUUGUCCUUGGGCAGAUUCUUCUCCUCAACGCCCAUAGCUUCAUGGCUUUUAUGCUAGAUUUACUGAUGUCUCUUCAAACUUCGAAGAGUUUCAACUCCUUUUGAAUGCAUAUGUGGAGACAUCUAACAUAUUUUAUGAAGACCGCAAUAUUAUCGAUGAAGAUCUCAAGUGAGAAAUCUUACUUGUAGAAAUUGAUAGUGUAAUCCUGGAG